RNAcentral lists this ribosomal RNA (1486 nucleotides) under uncultured organism. RNAcentral's name for it is "SSU rRNA". It matches the Rfam family "Bacterial small subunit ribosomal RNA". The record is from RNAcentral.
GCCUAAUACAUGCAAGUCGAACGAGUUCUGAUUAUUGAAAGGUGCUUGCAUCUUGAUUUUAAUUUUGAACGAGUGGCGGACGGGUGAGUAACACGUGGGUAACCUGCCCUUAAGUGGGGGAUAACAUUUGGAAACAGAUGCUAAUACCGCAUAAAUCCAAGAACCGCAUGGUUCUUGGCUGAAAGAUGGCGUAAGCUAUCGCUUUUGGAUGGACCCGCGGCGUAUUAACUAGUUGGUGAGGUAACGGCUCACCAAGGCAAUGAUACGUAGCCGAACUGAGAGGUUGAUCGGCCACAUUGGGACUGAGACACGGCCCAAACUCCUACGGGAGGCAGCAGUAGGGAAUCUUCCACAAUGGACGCAAGUCUGAUGGAGCAACGCCGCGUGAGUGAAGAAGGCUUUCGGGUCGUAAAACUCUGUUGUUGGAGGAGAAUGGUCGGCAGAGUAACUGUUGUCGGCGUGACGGUAUCCAACCAGAAAGCCACGGCUAACUACGUGCCAGCAGCCGCGGUAAUACGUAGGUGGCAAGCGUUAUCCGGAUUUAUUGGGCGUAAAGCGAGCGCAGGCGGUUUUUUAAGUCUGAUGUGAAAGCCCUCGGCUUAACCGAGGAAGUGCAUCGGAAACUGGGAAACUUGAGUGCAGAAGAGGACAGUGGAACUCCAUGUGUAGCGGUGAAAUGCGUAGAUAUAUGGAAGAACACCAGUGGCGAAGGCGGCUGUCUGGUCUGUAACUGACGCUGAGGCUCGAAAGCAUGGGUAGCGAACAGGAUUAGAUACCCUGGUAGUCCAUGCCGUAAACGAUGAAUGCUAGGUGUUGGAGGGUUUCCGCCCUUCAGUGCCGCAGCUAACGCAUUAAGCAUUCCGCCUGGGGAGUACGACCGCAAGGUUGAAACUCAAAGGAAUUGACGGGGGCCCGCACAAGCGGUGGAGCAUGUGGUUUAAUUCGAAGCAACGCGAAGAACCUUACCAGGUCUUGACAUCUUUUGAUCACCUGAGAGAUCAGGUUUCCCCUUCGGGGGCAAAAUGACAGGUGGUGCAUGGUUGUCGUCAGCUCGUGUCGUGAGAUGUUGGGUUAAGUCCCGCAACGAGCGCAACCCUUAUGACUAGUUGCCAGCAUUUAGUUGGGCACUCUAGUAAGACUGCCGGUGACAAACCGGAGGAAGGUGGGGAUGACGUCAAAUCAUCAUGCCCCUUAUGACCUGGGCUACACACGUGCUACAAUGGAUGGUACAACGAGUUGCGAGACCGCGAGGUCAAGCUAAUCUCUUAAAGCCAUGCUCAGUUCGGACUGUAGGCUGCAACUCGCCUACACGAAGUCGGAAUCGCUAGUAAUCGCGGAUCAGCACGCCGCGGUGAAUACGUUCCCGGGCCUUGUACACACCGCCCGUCACACCAUGAGAGUUUGUAACACCCGAAGCCGGUGGCGUAACCCUUUUAGGGAGCGAGCCGUCUAAGGUGGGACAAAUGAUUAGGGUGAAGUCAUAACA